AUACGGAGGGUGCAAGCGUUACUCGGAAUCACUGGGCGUAAAGCGCGCGCAGGCGGCUUGAUAAGUUGGAUGUGAAAGCCUACGGCUCAACCGUAGAACUGCAUCCAAAACUGUCAGACUAGAGUGUGGGAGAGGAAGAUGGAAUUAGUUGUGUAGGGGUAAAAUCCGUAGAGAUAACUAGGAAUACCAAAAGCGAAGGCAAUCUUCUGGAACACUACUGACGCUGAGGCGCGAAGGCGUGGGGAGCAAACAGGAUUAGAUACCCCGGUAGUCC
Molecule: ribosomal RNA, 274 nt
Filed under: uncultured bacterium
Lineage: Bacteria
Description: partial 16S ribosomal RNA
Rfam family: Bacterial small subunit ribosomal RNA
Source: RNAcentral